RNAcentral lists this long non-coding RNA (1143 nucleotides) under Numida meleagris (helmeted guineafowl). Its description in RNAcentral is "lncRNA (ENSNMEG00000003694.1)". Lineage: Eukaryota; Metazoa; Chordata; Aves; Galliformes; Numididae. The record is from RNAcentral.
AGACCCCUGACUGCUGCAGCCAUGGUAUCUGGCCUUGCAAUGGGAGCUUCACCAGGGAACCUACCCUCCUGGGAGAAGCCCACACAUGCACCUGCCCACUAGACCUGCUGCUCCAGAAAGCACACUGCAGCCUAUUGACACUGCUUGUGCAACCCGGGACCUUUCAGUGCCCGAGGCUACAUCCUAGUAAUACCCCACUUCGCACCAAGCUGUGGCCGGAUAUCUUCACUUUUCAGAGAAAAACAUCAACAAGGUAUCAGGAGCUGAACUGCAUGCAGGAAUCUGUGCUGAAUGUCUUCCUAGUGUUGACCACAGGGUCAGACCUGUGCUGGGACUUUGGGGUGCUGCUGCACCUUCCCCAUGGUGGGGUAUGGAGCUGUGUCUAACAGGGCCAGCAGAGCCAGAGAGGUGAUGCUGAACCCCCACAGAUGUGAGGGGUGAAGCUGGGCUGAGCGGUCCUGGCACAGUGAGCAGAUCUAACUGAGGGGCUGUUUGUGGUGCAGCCCUAGGUGAGCAUUUUCCCAAAGCCCCAUCACGUCAGGAAAGAAGUGGAGCAAAUGUUGAGUGUUUUUGAGAUGAGAAAGCACCAGCAGAACCCUGGAUGUGCUGGGGGGUUAUCCUGGAGAGGAGAUAACUGAGGCAGGCAGGAGCACAGGUACACCAGAGACUGCUGGAAGGUGAGGGGGCUCUCUGCUCUCUCCAUAGAGCCCAGCAGAAAACUGAGAGGCUUCAGCUGCAGGAAGGAGGCUUCACAAUAGACCCAGGGAAGAUCUUCCUGUCUGGAGACAACUCUUCAGCUUUAAAAUAUGACAGUGCAAGGACAGCUGAUCUCCCUGAGGCUGGAGACCUGUCUUUGUUCAAGGUCUCUUCCCAUCCCAAGGGGAGGCCAAGUCCAGUCUACAGGCUUCUCCGGACCAAGAAGCUGUACAGUCUGUUGGAAAAGGAAGCACCCAUAGAACUGAGGCACGUAGGACCUUGCUGAGUUGCCAGUGUGGAGCAUCUAUCUGCAUUUUGCUGCUCCUCCUGGAGGUUUUACAGUUCAGGGCAGGAGAGCACCGAACACCGAACUGGGAGCGCUGGAGCACUGUGUGUCCUGUGGGACUUCCCUCCAGGGCAGAAUAAAUCGCUGUGUAGGUAGCUGCA